Molecule: ribosomal RNA, 2432 nt
Filed under: Shigella boydii
Lineage: Bacteria; Pseudomonadati; Pseudomonadota; Gammaproteobacteria; Enterobacterales; Enterobacteriaceae
Description: partial 23S ribosomal RNA
Rfam family: Bacterial large subunit ribosomal RNA
Source: RNAcentral
AUAGGUUAAUGAGGCGAACCGGGGGAACUGAAACAUCUAAGUACCCCGAGGAAAAGAAAUCAACCGAGAUUCCCCCAGUAGCGGCGAGCGAACGGGGAGCAGCCCAGAGCCUGAAUCAGUGUGUGUGUUAGUGGAAGCGUCUGGAAAGGCGUGCGAUACAGGGUGACAGCCCCGUACACAAAAAUGCACAUAUUGUGAGCUCGAUGAGUAGGGCGGGACACGUGGUAUCCUGUCUGAAUAUGGGGGGACCAUCCUCCAAGGCUAAAUACUCCUGACUGACCGAUAGUGAACCAGUACCGUGAGGGAAAGGCGAAAAGAACCCCGGCGAGGGGAGUGAAAAAGAACCUGAAACCGUGUACGUACAAGCAGUGGGAGCACGCUUAGGCGUGUGACUGCGUACCUUUUGUAUAAUGGGUCAGCGACUUAUAUUCUGUAGCAAGGUUAACCGAAUAGGGGAGCCGAAGGGAAACCGAGUCUUAACUGGGCGUUAAGUUGCAGGGUAUAGACCCGAAACCCGGUGAUCUAGCCAUGGGCAGGUUGAAGGUUGGGUAACACUAACUGGAGGACCGAACCGACUAAUGUUGAAAAAUUAGCGGAUGACUUGUGGCUGGGGGUGAAAGGCCAAUCAAACCGGGAGAUAGCUGGUUCUCCCCGAAAGCUAUUUAGGUAGCGCCUCGUGAAUUCAUCUCCGGGGGUAGAGCACUGUUUCGGCAAGGGGGUCAUCCCGACUUACCAACCCGAUGCAAACUGCGAAUACCGGAGAAUGUUAUCACGGGAGACACACGGCGGGUGCUAACGUCCGUCGUGAAGAGGGAAACAACCCAGACCGCCAGCUAAGGUCCCAAAGUCAUGGUUAAGUGGGAAACGAUGUGGGAAGGCCCAGACAGCCAGGAUGUUGGCUUAGAAGCAGCCAUCAUUUAAAGAAAGCGUAAUAGCUCACUGGUCGAGUCGGCCUGCGCGGAAGAUGUAACGGGGCUAAACCAUGCACCGAAGCUGCGGCAGCGACACUAUGUGUUGUUGGGUAGGGGAGCGUUCUGUAAGCCUGUGAAGGUGUACUGUGAGGUAUGCUGGAGGUAUCAGAAGUGCGAAUGCUGACAUAAGUAACGAUAAAGCGGGUGAAAAGCCCGCUCGCCGGAAGACCAAGGGUUCCUGUCCAACGUUAAUCGGGGCAGGGUGAGUCGACCCCUAAGGCGAGGCCGAAAGGCGUAGUCGAUGGGAAACAGGUUAAUAUUCCUGUACUUGGUGUUACUGCGAAGGGGGGACGGAGAAGGCUAUGUUGGCCGGGCGACGGUUGUCCCGGUUUAAGCGUGUAGGCUGGUUUUCCAGGCAAAUCCGGAAAACUAAGGCUGAGGCGUGAUGACGAGGCACUACGGUGCUGAAGCAACAAAUGCCCUGCUUCCAGGAAAAGCCUCUAAGCAUCAGGUAACAUCAAAUCGUACCCCAAACCGACACAGGUGGUCAGGUAGAGAAUACCAAGGCGCUUGAGAGAACUCGGGUGAAGGAACUAGGCAAAAUGGUGCCGUAACUUCGGGAGAAGGCACGCUGAUAUGUAGGUGAAGUCCCUCGCGGAUGGAGCUGAAAUCAGUCGAAGAUACCAGCUGGCUGCAACUGUUUAUUAAAAACACAGCACUGUGCAAACACGAAAGUGGACGUAUACGGUGUGACGCCUGCCCGGUGCCGGAAGGUUAAUUGAUGGGGUCAGCGCAAGCGAAGCUCUUGAUCGAAGCCCCGGUAAACGGCGGCCGUAACUAUAACGGUCCUAAGGUAGCGAAAUUCCUUGUCGGGUAAGUUCCGACCUGCACGAAUGGCGUAAUGAUGGCCAGGCUGUCUCCACCCGAGACUCAGUGAAAUUGAACUCGCUGUGAAGAUGCAGUGUACCCGCGGCAAGACGGAAAGACCCCGUGAACCUUUACUAUAGCUUGACACUGAACAUUGAGCCUUGAUGUGUAGGAUAGGUGGGAGGCUUUGAAGUGUGGACGCCAGUCUGCAUGGAGCCGACCUUGAAAUACCACCCUUUAAUGUUUGAUGUUCUAACGUUGACCCGUAAUCCGGGUUGCGGACAGUGUCUGGUGGGUAGUUUGACUGGGGCGGUCUCCUCCUAAAGAGUAACGGAGGAGCACGAAGGUUGGCUAAUCCUGGUCGGACAUCAGGAGGUUAGUGCAAUGGCAUAAGCCAGCUUGACUGCGAGCGUGACGGCGCGAGCAGGUGCGAAAGCAGGUCAUAGUGAUCCGGUGGUUCUGAAUGGAAGGGCCAUCGCUCAACGGAUAAAAGGUACUCCGGGGAUAACAGGCUGAUACCGCCCAAGAGUUCAUAUCGACGGCGGUGUUUGGCACCUCGAUGUCGGCUCAUCACAUCCUGGGGCUGAAGUAGGUCCCAAGGGUAUGGCUGUUCGCCAUUUAAAGUGGUACGCGAGCUGGGUUUAGAACGUCGUG